GGACCUCCAGGGUCAUGAGGAAAGACUGAUCCAACACAGCACUUCAGUGUGGGAGCAUCUCAUCUCAAGGUUCAGCAGAUUUGAUAUGCUACCCUUCUGGAAACUGCACAAGAACAGAGCAUUUCAAGAAACCCUUUGAACAACCUGCAAGUGAUAUUAUCCAGGAGCUAACAACUACACCAACAUGGAGUUAUAAUGUUUUUGAAGACUCUAGGUGCAGAAACCAUUCAGUAUGCUUUCACAUGCCAUACUAAUGGCUAAUUAGAGAACAUCAACAAAUUAGAGAAAGCACAGUGAAAACUGAGUAUUAUGUUUGAAGAGUUAGUCUGUCAGCUUUUCUGAUUACUGGGGAGCAUUUAUCAGUCAUGAACUGCAAGCAUUUAAGAAGAUCAUGCUCUACACAGUCUGCUUACCACUUCAUAUUCAAGUUUCAAAACAGCUGAAAUAGAUUCCACCUAGACAGAACUUUUCUGCCUUGGAAAUCUUGUAUAUUUGUGCAUAUUAGGUACCAUCCUGUUUCCUGGUAUCAGCAGUUGCUAUCAUAAUUUUCUUAUGGGCCAUCAGAACAAAUAAUUUUUAAAAAGCUCUGAUAAAUUAAAUAUCAGUAUUUGAAGGUAUUAAUUCUUCUUUUCUCAUGCCUGCUACUUAUUAAAUUAACUUCUAUUAAGUCAUUUUAAAAUUCUGUUAAAAAUCACGCUGGGAUAAAUCUGGAAAGGUGAGAAGUGUAUAUGAUGGGUGUAUGUAUGUAUACAGUCUGGGUACAGAUUUGUCAAUCUUGUCAACAUCAUGAUGUGCCAAGAGGCAUUUAUAAUUCAAGUCACUAACAUAACCUCUCCUCCAAAUAAUCAUGUCACCUAAGGUUACACAACAUUAUGUACACAGCAAUUUGGUGUACUGAGGGUCCUGUAUCACUCUUUGGCAGCACUGUUUGGCAGUGCGGUUGGCUACUCCUGCAGCUGUAGUCCCCACUCUUCCAGGCUGUUGAAAACAUUGGUUUUCACUGCAGCUCUUUCCUCACUGAACAUUCAGAUUUAAUUUUAAAGGAAAAGAAGAUGAGUGAGGGCAUGGUGUGCAUACAGGUACCAUUCUGUUAUAGUGUCAUUUAUCAUAUAGCUGAGAUGCAAGCAGUGAUUUGGCUGCGAACAUGCUGAAGAGGACAAAUUAUCUUAAGAGUGAACUCAGGUCAGAUGUUUCUAAACACUCCUGAGCAAAUAUUAGGCAUCUCAAUAGUGUGUGAUGGCCUUGUCUUCC
RNAcentral lists this long non-coding RNA (1251 nucleotides) under Anser brachyrhynchus (Pink-footed goose). RNAcentral's name for it is "lncRNA (ENSABRG00000011914.1)". The record is from RNAcentral. Lineage: Eukaryota; Metazoa; Chordata; Aves; Anseriformes; Anatidae.